GGGAGAAGUGGGGAGAAGGGAACAAGGCAGGAGCUGCUUCUUUGGGAGAGAGCUGGAAAGGAAGAAGCUCAGACUGAAAGGGGAAGGAAGAUCUGCCUGCCUCAGUGGUGGAUGGGGGAGGGAGUGGUUUCAGAGCAGCUGUAGUGGCAGGCACCUGGAAACCUGAGCUAAAUUUGCCAGCUGGUGCCAGUCUAUGUUGGGACCACUGAUCACACAUCCCAGGCACAGCAGACAUGGACGGACUGACACCUCCGGGUUCCAAGUACCCAAUGGCAGCACAGAGCCAAGCAGUAUCCGGGAGUGUGAUUUGCAACCCUCCUGGUUCUCAGCUGAAGCUAGAUCCUAGUUCCCAGCCAGACAGCUGAGCUGGUGAGAAACAGCCCACAAGUGUCUAUUGAAAUGCAAAUGCACCUCGAGCCAGGGGUCUUUGGAAACCUGUCAGCUAGGGGGACUUACAGCUUGGAUACUUAAAGGAAGCAAUGACCUGAAUUCUACCUGACAGCUUACUGAAGCUGACCAACAUACUGGAACAAGUGGAGUAUGCAUUACAGAAACAGCAGGUACAUUAGAUUAAUUAUGAUAAACCUUGGCAAGCAUGUAUAUUACCUACAAAACUUACUCCCACGGUGGUUUCAUGGCAAAACAGUUCGUUUAUGUGGCUACAACUUCCUGUCUUACCAGUCAAGGUAUUAAACCCUUAUUUUGAAGCAUUAGCUUGUUUAGUAUGGAAGAGCAGAAUGGAAUCUAGGCGAUAUUUUGGCAGGGAACCUAAAGUGAUCUACGCUCCUUAUAUUAAGCAACAGAUUGAUUAGUUAUUUCAAAAUAGUGAUUGUUGGGCAAUUGUGCUUGUUCAAUUUCAAGACCAGAUUAAUAAUCUUUCCCCAGAUGAUCGGAUGCUAUAAUUCACACAACUAUAUUCUUUUAUUUCCCACUACAGGUUGCUUUGUCAAUUUUUACAGAUGGUUCUUCCAGUGGAGGAGCAGUAUGUGUUGUUGGUGGUAAAGGACAUAUAGUGUGAACUGAACUGGCCUCAGUUGAAACAGUUGAGCUGUUGUAUAGUAUUCCAAGUUUGGUUUUUUUUUUGCAAAUAAUGCAUUUAAUUUAUCUACUGACUGCCAUUACAUUUUUAAAACCCUUCAGAUACUGGAAACUGUCCCAUGCCUUGGGACUAGCAAUAAGCAAGUUAAAAUGCUGUUCCAGCAAAUUCAAGAUGCCAUUUAUCAAAGGAAAUUGCCAUGCUUUGUGGGUCAUAUCAGAGUACAUUCUUCCUGGUCCAUUGGCUGAAGGUAAUACUCUAACCGAUAAGUUUACAAAGUUUAUUGCUUUAUUUCAAGUUGAGCUUGAUCAAUGAUCACAUGCUUUACAUCAUCAUUGUUUAAGGAAACAAUUUGGGUUAACAGGAGACAUUGCUCACCAGAUUGUCAAGCAGUGUGAUGUAUAUCCACAAUACUUACCUGUACUUUAUCUGGGAGUAAAUCAUCAAGGCCUGCCUCCUAAUCAAUUAUGGAACAUGGAUGCUUCUCAUAUCGUGUGUAUGUGACAACUGAUGCAUAUACAUGUUUCUUAAUAGCCUCUGCACAGACUGGAGAAGCCACUAACAUGUGAUAACUCAUUGCUUAAAGUGCUCUUCCUAUAUGGGAAUCCCUAAAAUUAUAAAGACAGACAAUGGCUCCAGAUAUAUUAGUAAAACCUUUCAGCAGUUUUGUUCUCAAUGGAAUAUCAAACACAAAACUGGCAUUUCUUAUAAUCCUCAGGGACAAGAAACUGUGGAGCAUGCCCAUGGCUCCCUGAAACCACAACUUCAAAAGAUAAAAAAUGGGGGAAUUGUGCUCUCAGUCACCACAUAACACCUCAAAUCAUGCCCCUUUUUACUCUAAAUUUCUUGAAUAUGGAUGCCCACGAGCAAUCUGCUGUAAAAAGAUUUUGGCAUGAUGGCAUCAAGGUGACCUUCACUAAAGCAGGGUGGAAAGACCCUUGCACUGGAUUAUGAACAGGACCCCAGCCUGUAUUAAUAUGGGCUUGAGGAUAUAUCUGUAUUUGUUCACAGAAAGACGGUGAAGUGCAAUGGCUUCCAGAAAGUCUGGUCUGAUGUGUACAGCAGAAGGAUGACAAUCCUGAUGCAUCAUGGUCACCAGUGUCCCCACAGCAGAGUCAGAGUGAGGUUCCUGAACCUGUGUUCCUGACUUUCUUACAACAUCAUGCUGCAGUAUGAGAAGAAAAAGAAGAUUGUGGUGGCAAUUGGUGACUCCUAGAUUCUUGGUGAACUUACUGCACAAAUUUCUAUACCUCAGUGUGUUCUGUUUAUUUUGGAGUCAGUCCAAGAACACUGACUGAAUGCUUGACAGUUUAUCCACACUAUAUCUUGGGAUACAGAACUCAUUUUUGCCAGUAUGGUAUUCAAUCUGCUGUUGAAAUAAAGGACCUGAGAACCGAGACCUCAGAAAAUUUUCCCCUCUAAGGGAAAGAGACUUGUUAAAGCAAUGGAACACUAUUAUGGAGGCAAAGAGUGACUCUGCCCCUUGUGAGAGAUGAAGAGGGGGGCCAUAAAGGCUUUUACUGCUGCUCAGAGACUGGGACAGUUGAGACUUGUCUUUGAAACGUAGAAGCAGCAAUGAAGAUGGACUACAGGAGAGAGAAAAGACGCAAAGCUCACCCUCACAGAAACCUUUUCUUGUCUUUUGAAUAGAAUGGAUUUAAAAGAAUUGUGAUUUGACAAAUUGACAAAUUGAGUGCUAGAAUUAUGGUAUCGACCUGUUAAGGUUUGUAGUUCAUUAUGAAGAAAAUGUAGUUCAUUAUUAGAAAAAGAUUAGAGCUUGUCUGAGAAAAAAUUGACAUGACAAGCCCUUAGAAGGCAAUCUCACCUCUGGUCACUCUUCAUCCCAUUAUUAGGAAAUAUUGUAGCCAUAGGAGUAUAUGUAUCACAAAGCAGUAUCUGCUUGCAUAUGUUUAACUCUCUUGACAGAAAAUUGACUUAAAGGUUCACAGUGCCUAGUGAUACUUUCUCCCUUAACCCUUUAUUUACAGAGGUUGAUAGUGAGAGAUGGGUAAGACCUUCCCUGCACCCACCCAGGCAAUCCAAAACUGGACAUACAUGAUGGAAUGUAUGUACUGAUGACAGCACCUACCCUGGAAUGUAUGAGUUCAUCGAAGUUGGUAUUUGACAACCUUGCAAUAAACACCUGCAGCCCUGAAGUUAGGAAGAAUGACAGACAACUUUAGUCUCCAUCAUUGCUGUUGACUGUCCAAUAGGGUGGAGUAGACAUCUUCCCUUCUAGAACAAUGUCCAUCUCAGCCUUUGCCUGCACAGCACAAGGCAAUGGAAACAGUGAUUCUGUUCCAGCAGACUCAAAGACCUUGGCUGCUGGCUCUUCACCCUUCACACUGACUUGAAGUUGCCCCAUCACUCCACUGGGCAACAGUGGCCCACCCUGGAUGUUACUCAGAUUGGUUCCAUCCCUCGGCCAUGUUUUCCUCAGUUAUCCAGCUUCCCAAGUCUCUACUUCCUAUUAGUACCUUUGCAUGAACCACCUAUCCUUUGGUAUAUGUGAGAGGGGUCAUUGGCUGACACAUUUGAGCAACCCCAGCUAUUUCUACUGUUUCAUAUGUGUUGGGGGGAGUUCCCGGCUACUAGAAUGAGGAGUUACAAAGAGGUUUGUUUUGUUUUGUCUUUUAACAGCUUGUAACUGAUCAUCAGACCCUUUAAUAAGAAUUUUCAGGUGUUUCUGCUAUUAAUGUCCAAACAUUGCUGAUUCCUGGGCUGUUUGCCAGCUCAACAUCUCAGGCUUCCUUCCCCUUUCUGCACCACUAUGAAUUUCAUCAGUGGUGUCCCCUUUUCUCUAAUUUGUAUAAAUAAAGUCUCUCUGGGUGGUGAUGAA
Molecule: non-coding RNA, 3875 nt
Organism: Myodes glareolus (Bank vole)
Lineage: Eukaryota; Metazoa; Chordata; Mammalia; Rodentia; Cricetidae
Source: RefSeq, a predicted model, not a curated record